ACGCCUCUGCCAUGUACGAGAAGGGGUGUACUUUUGGCGAACCAAUGAAAACCCGUUGGGAGCCGAUUCAAUACCUCUGGGCUUGUCCCUGAAGGUCUAAGGCGCCCACUUGAACUGCGGGUUCUCAAAAGCGCUCCGACGGCAUUGCGGUGGAGGUCCU
This 160-nucleotide non-coding RNA is filed under the name Singulisphaera acidiphila DSM 18658. RNAcentral's name for it is "6S / SsrS RNA". It matches the Rfam family "6S / SsrS RNA". Rfam says of the family: E. coli 6S RNA was the first non coding RNA to be sequenced, but its function was unknown until recently. It consists of 184 nucleotides that fold into an extended hairpin structure with a large single-stranded internal bulge. Lineage: Bacteria; Pseudomonadati; Planctomycetota; Planctomycetia; Isosphaerales; Isosphaeraceae. The record is from Rfam by way of RNAcentral.